GGGUUGUGAGGUUAAGCGACUAAGCGUACACGGUGGAUGCCCUGGCAGUCAGAGGCGAUGAAGGACGUGCUAAUCUGCGAAAAGCGUCGGUAAGGUGAUAUGAACCGUUAUAGCCGGCGAUGUCCGAAUGGGGAAACCCAGUGCAAUUCGUUGCACUAUCGUUUGAUGAAUACAUAGUCAAACGAGGCGAACCGGGGAACUGAAACAUCUAAGUACCCGAGGAAAAGAAAUCAACCGAGAUUCCCCAGUAGCGGCGAGCGAACGGGGAGCAGCCCGGAGUCUGAAUCAGCUUGUGUGUUAGUGGAAGCGUCUGGAAAGUCGCAGGGUACAGGGUGAUACUCCCGUACACUAAAACACACAGGCUGUGAACUCGAAGAGUAGGGCGGGACACGUGGUAUCCUGUCUGAAUAUGGGGGACCAUCCUCCAAGGCUAAAUACUCCUGACUGACCGAUAGUGAACCAGUACCGUGAGGGAAAGGCGAAAAGAACCCCGGCGAGGGGAGUGAAAAAGAACCUGAAACCGUGUACGUACAAGCAGUAGGAGCCUCUUUAUGGGGUGACUGCGUACCUUUUGUAUAAUGGGUCAGCGACUUAUAUUCUGUAGCAAGGUUAACCGUAUAGGGGAGCCGCAGGGAAACCGAGUCUUAACUGGGCGUUAAGUUGCAGGGUAUAGACCCGAAACCCGGUGAUCUAGCCAUGGGCAGGUUGAAGGUUGGGUAACACUAACUGGAGGACCGAACCGACUAAUGUUGAAAAAUUAGCGGAUGACUUGUGGCUGGGGUGAAAGGCCAAUCAAACCGGGAGAUAGCUGGUUCUCCCGAAAGCUAUUUAGGUAGCGCCUCGUGAACUCAUCUUCGGGGGUAGAGCACUGUUUCGGCUAGGGGGUCAUCCCGACUUACCAACCCGAUGCAAACUACGAAUACCGAAGAAUGUUAUCACGGGAGACACACGGCGGGUGCUAACGUCCGUCGUGAAGAGGGAAACAACCCAGACCGCCAGCUAAGGUCCCAAAGUCAUGGUUAAGUGGGAAACGAUGUGGGAAGGCCCAGACAGCCAGGAUGUUGGCUUAGAAGCAGCCAUCAUUUAAAGAAAGCGUAAUAGCUCACUGGUCGAGUCGGCCUGCGCGGAAGAUGUAACGGGGCUAAACCAUGCACCGAAGCUGCGGCAGCGACACUAUGUGUUGUUGGGUAGGGGAGCGUUCUGUAAGCCGUUGAAGGUGGCCUGUGAGGGUUGCUGGAGGUAUCAGAAGUGCGAAUGCUGACAUAAGUAACGAUAAUGCGGGUGAAAAACCCGCACGCCGGAAGACCAAGGGUUCCUGUCCAACGUUAAUCGGGGCAGGGUGAGUCGACCCCUAAGGCGAGGCCGAAAGGCGUAGUCGAUGGGAAACAGGUUAAUAUUCCUGUACUCGGUGUUACUGCGAAGGGGGACGGAGAAGGCUAUGUUGGCCGGGCGACGGUUGUCCCGGUUUAAGCAUGUAGGCGGAUGUUCCAGGUAAAUCCGGAACGUUAUUAACGCUGAGGUGUGAUGACGAGGCACUACGGUGCUGAAGUGACAAAUGCCCUGCUUCCAGGAAAAGCCUCUAAGCAUCAGGUAACAUCAAAUCGUACCCCAAACCGACACAGGUGGUCAGGUAGAGAAUACCAAGGCGCUUGAGAGAACUCGGGUGAAGGAACUAGGCAAAAUGGUGCCGUAACUUCGGGAGAAGGCACGCUGAUAUGUAGGUGAAGUGGUUUACCCAUGGAGCUGAAAUCAGUCGAAGAUACCAGCUGGCUGCAACUGUUUAUUAAAAACACAGCACUGUGCAAACACGAAAGUGGACGUAUACGGUGUGACGCCUGCCCGGUGCCGGAAGGUUAAUUGAUGGGGUUAUCCGUAAGGAGAAGCUCUUGAUCGAAGCCCCGGUAAACGGCGGCCGUAACUAUAACGGUCCUAAGGUAGCGAAAUUCCUUGUCGGGUAAGUUCCGACCUGCACGAAUGGCGUAAUGAUGGCCAGGCUGUCUCCACCCGAGACUCAGUGAAAUUGAACUCGCUGUGAAGAUGCAGUGUACCCGCGGCAAGACGGAAAGACCCCGUGAACCUUUACUAUAGCUUGACACUGAACACUGGUCCUUGAUGUGUAGGAUAGGUGGGAGGCUUUGAAGUGUGGACGCCAGUCUGCAUGGAGCCAUCCUUGAAAUACCACCCUUUAAUGGCUGGUGUUCUAACGUGGGCCCCUAAUCGGGGUUGCGGACAGUGUCUGGUGGGUAGUUUGACUGGGGCGGUCUCCUCCUAAAGAGUAACGGAGGAGCACGAAGGUCAGCUAAUCCUGGUCGGACAUCAGGAGGUUAGUGCAAUGGCAUAAGCUGGCUUGACUGCGAGCGUGACGGCGCGAGCAGGUGCGAAAGCAGGUCAUAGUGAUCCGGUGGUUCUGAAUGGAAGGGCCAUCGCUCAACGGAUAAAAGGUACUCCGGGGAUAACAGGCUGAUACCGCCCAAGAGUUCAUAUCGACGGCGGUGUUUGGCACCUCGAUGUCGGCUCAUCACAUCCUGGGGCUGAAGUAGGUCCCAAGGGUAUGGCUGUUCGCCAUUUAAAGUGGUACGCGAGCUGGGUUUAGAACGUCGUGAGACAGUUCGGUCCCUAUCUGCCGUGGGCGCUGGAGAAUUGAGGGGGCUGCUCCUAGUACGAGAGGACCGGAGUGGACGCAUCACUGGUGUUCGGGUUGUCAUGCCAAUGGCAUUGCCCGGUAGCUAAAUGCGGAAGAGAUAAGUGCUGAAAGCAUCUAAGCACGAAACUUGCCCGAGAUGAGUUCUCCCUGACCCUUUAAGGGUCCUGAAGGAACGUUGAAGACGACGACGUUGAUAGGCCGGGUGUGUAAGCGCAGCGAUGCGUUGAGCUAACCGGUACUAAUGAACCGUGAGGCUUAACCUUACAACGCCGAAG
This 2919-nucleotide ribosomal RNA is filed under the name Klebsiella michiganensis M5al. Its description in RNAcentral is "bacterial LSU rRNA". It matches the Rfam family "Bacterial large subunit ribosomal RNA". Lineage: Bacteria; Pseudomonadati; Pseudomonadota; Gammaproteobacteria; Enterobacterales; Enterobacteriaceae. The record is from RNAcentral.